UGGGGAAUCUUGGACAAUGGGCGAAAGCCUGAUCCAGCCAUGCCGCGUGAGUGACGAAGGUCUUCGGGUUGUAAAGCUCUUUCAGACGGAAAGAAACGGUUACGGCUAAUACCCGUGACUAAUGACGGUACCGUAAGAAGAAGCACCGGCUAACUACGUGCCAGCAGCCGCGGUAAUACGUAGGGUGCGAGCGUUGUUCGGAUUUACUGGGCGUAAAGGGCGCGUAGGCGGCAAUUCAAGUCAUCUGUGAAAUCUCCGGGCUUAACUCGGAACGGUCAGAUGAUACUGCUUUGCUAGAGUGCAGAAGGGGCAAUCGGAAUUCUUGGUGUAGCGGUGAAAUGCGUAGAUAUCAAGAGGAACACCUGAGGUGAAGACGGGUUGCUGGGCUGACACUGACGCUGAGGCGCGAAAGCCAGGGGAGCAAACGGGAUUAGAUACCCAAGUAGUCCCUGAGCGGGCUGGCAAGGCGCAU
RNAcentral lists this ribosomal RNA (472 nucleotides) under uncultured bacterium. Its description in RNAcentral is "bacterial SSU rRNA". It matches the Rfam family "Bacterial small subunit ribosomal RNA", at positions 355 to 825 of the family's 1533-position model. The record is from RNAcentral.